CCCCUAGUAACUGCGAGUGAAGCGGGAAAAGCUCAAAUUUGAAAUCUGGCNNNNNNNNNNNNCGCCCGAGUUGUAUUCUGGAGAAGCGUUUUCCGUGCCGGACCGUGUACAAGUCCCUUGGAACAGGGCGUCAUARAGGGUGAGAAUCCCGUCUUUGACACGGACUCCCGGUGCUAUGUGAUGCGCUCUCGAAGAGUCGAGUUGUUUGGGAAUGCAGCUCASRAUGGGUGGUAAAUUCCAUCUAAAGCUAAAUAUUGGCGAGAGACCGAUAGCGAACAAGUACCGUGAGGGAAAGAUGAAAAGCACUUUGGAAAGAGAGUAAAACAGUACGUGAAAUUGUUGARAGGGAAACGCUUGAAGUCAGUCGCGUCUGCCGGAACUCAGCCUUGCUUCUGCUCGGUGCACUUUCCGGUUCGACGGGCCAGCAUCGGUUUUGGGCGGCGGACACUGGCGCGGGGAAGGUGGCAGCUCCGGCUGUGUUAUAGCCCCGCGUCGCAAACGCCGUCUGGGACCGAGGAAUCCGGCGCAAGCCUGGGAUGCUGGCGUAAUGGCUUUAAACGACCCGUCUUGAAACACGGACCAAGGAGUGCUACACGCUCGCGAGUGUUUGGGUGGAAAACCCGGACGCGCAAUGAAAGUGAAAGUCGAUACCCCUCGCGGGGGCACCGACGCCCGAGCCUGAUGUUUUCGGAAGGCCUUGCGGUAGAGCGAGUGCGUUGCGACCCGAAAGAUGGUGAACUAUUCCUGAGGAGGGCGAAGCCAGAGGAAACUCUGGUGGAGGCUCGUAGCGGUUCUGACGUGCAAAUCGAUCGCAGGACUUGGGUAUAGGGGCGAAAGACUAAUCGAACCAUCUAGUAGCUGGUUCCUGCCGAAGUUUCCCUCAGGAUAGCAGAAGCUCAUAUCAGAUUUAUGUGGUAAAGCGAAUGAUUAGAGGCCUUGGGGUUGAAACAACCUUAACCUAUUCUCAAACUUUAAAUAUGUAAGGACGAGCCGUCACUUGAUUGGACCGCUCGACGAUUGAGAGCUUCUAGUGGGCCAUUUUUGGUAAGCAGAACUGGCGAUGCGGGAUGAACCGAUCGCGAGGUUAAGGUGCCGGAAUGCACGCUCAUCAGACACCACAAAAGGUGUUAGUUCAUCUAGACAGCAGGACGGUGGCCAUGGAAGUCGGAAUCCGCUAAGGAGUGUGUAACAACUCACCUGCCGAAUGAACUAGCCCUGAAAAUGGAUGGCGCUCAAGCGUGCUACCCAUACCUCGCCDSCAGWNGUUGAAGUGACGCGCUGACGAGUAGGCAGGCGUGGGGGUCCGUGA
This 1309-nucleotide ribosomal RNA is filed under the name Trechispora nivea. RNAcentral describes it as "partial 28S ribosomal RNA". It matches the Rfam family "Eukaryotic large subunit ribosomal RNA", at positions 77 to 1403 of the family's 3401-position model. Lineage: Eukaryota; Fungi; Basidiomycota; Agaricomycetes; Trechisporales; Hydnodontaceae. The record is from RNAcentral. RNAcentral also lists the same sequence under 1 other name.